RNAcentral lists this ribosomal RNA (477 nucleotides) under uncultured bacterium. RNAcentral describes it as "bacterial SSU rRNA". It matches the Rfam family "Bacterial small subunit ribosomal RNA", at positions 8 to 472 of the family's 1533-position model. The record is from RNAcentral.
AGAGUUUGAUCCUGGCUCAGAUUGAACGCUGGCGGCAUGCCUAACACAUGCAAGUCGAACGGUAGCAGGAGCUAGCUUGCUAGCUCGCUGACGAGUGGCGGACGGGUGAGUAAUGCGUAGGAAUCUGCCCUUAAGUGGGGGAUAGCCCGGAGAAAUCCGGAUUAAUACCGCAUGUGCUCUACGGAGCAAAGCGGGCCUCUGUUUCAAGCUCGCGCUUGAGGAUGAGCCUACGUCGGAUUAGCUAGUUGGUGGGGUAAAGGCCUACCAAGGCGACGAUCCGUAGCUGGUCUGAGAGGAUGAGCCAGCCACACUGGGACUGAGACACGGCCCAGACUCCUACGGGAGGCAGCAGUGGGGAAUAUUGGACAAUGGGCGAAAGCCUGAUCCAGCAAUGCCGCGUGUGUGAAGAAGGCCUGCGGGUUGUAAAGCACUUUUGUCGGGAAAGAAAAUCACAGGGUUAAUACCCCUGUGCCUUGA